This 849-nucleotide long non-coding RNA is filed under the name Mytilus galloprovincialis (Mediterranean mussel). Lineage: Eukaryota; Metazoa; Mollusca; Bivalvia; Mytilida; Mytilidae. The record is from RNAcentral.
CAAAAUAGGAUAAAAGUUUUCAAUGAUUGAACAUAAGAAUGUUAAAAAUAUUAAAUUUGUUUUUACCUGACAAAACAUUGAGAUUAUUUUCAAACAUGCAAGUUUCUUUUGUUUUUUUGACAUGCAAAUAUGAUAGAAAUUACUUUUUCUGAUAAGCACUCACAUUUUGAAAAUUGAGAUUGAAAAUGGGGAAUGUGUCAAAGAGAGAACUAUCCGACCAAAGAGCAUAAUGUAUAUUUAUGUAUAUGUUCGACUUCUUGCAUUCACAGAGUUUUCUCAAGAAGAGAGAUCUUCUAUUUUAUUGAAACAUUACAUAAGACAUGAAACAAUCCACAGUCUAUUGUACAUUUUAGUGUAGAAGUAUGUUUGUAUAUAUACAGGUAUAUUUAAGUUAUUGUGGCUAGUGCUAUAAGUAUGCAUAAUGAUAACUCUGUGCAAUAAAAUUUUAUUUAUAUUUGUAUUUAAUACAUAGUUCAUGUAUAUUUAGGGAGAAUAUUUGACAUUUAUGCAUGCAAAAAAUGAAUAUUUCUUAGGUAAAUAGUCCUUGAGAAAGAAUUGACAUUCACAGAUUUUCAAAGAUUAUCAGAUAUUUGUUGUAAUUUUCUUUUUGGUAAAUAUACAACAUGAGAUUUGAGUUUUAGAGGAGAAAAGACAGAACCAUGACUAUGAGCACAAUACUUUAGAUAAGAUGAGGAACAAAACAUUAUGUUAUUGAUAGAAGUUGUUAUAUUAUACAUUCCAAGUCACGCUAGGUCUUGGUUUCUGUGUUGCUGUUGUUACAUAUUUGAUAUACAUUUUUAGAAUAAACUGUGAUAUGUGUUAUUGUUUUCUUUAAAUGUGUUUUUGUUU